Macaca mulatta (Rhesus monkey) is the source of this 117-nucleotide unclassified non-coding RNA. It matches the Rfam family "Metazoan signal recognition particle RNA". Rfam says of the family: The signal recognition particle (SRP) is a universally conserved ribonucleoprotein. It is involved in the co-translational targeting of proteins to membranes. The eukaryotic SRP consists of a 300-nucleotide 7S RNA and six proteins: SRPs 72, 68, 54, 19, 14, and 9. The record is from Ensembl. NCBI's taxonomy places the organism in Eukaryota, Metazoa, Chordata, Mammalia, Primates, Cercopithecidae.
CCUGGGUGUGGUGGCUCACACCUGUAAUCCCAGUACUUUGGAAGGCCAAGACAGGAGGAUCACUUGAGCCCAGGAGUUCAAGACGAGCCUGGGCAACAUAGUGAGACCCUGUCUCUU